ACCUGUCUAAAUUUUGUGUUGUCUGCACCUUCGAGUUUCUGAUUUCGGCGCAUCCCAACCCAAAACCUACCACUUUAGGUAUACCCUUCGGUGGGCAGCCGGAUAAAACCCGACAGCAUCGUCCUGCUGCACAUGUACAUGGUGUGCCACCACCUCCGAGACCCCAUCCGACUGAAGCGCCCGCACGCCUGGUUCGCGCCAGUGGUGCUCUUGCUGUCUCCACGACCUACUUCGCUCACUAUGCCACCCUCCCAAGCACGAUCGGCGUCCAUCCGGCCGAGAAGGUUGCCGCAGCUGCCGCUUCUUUGAUCCUGUCCGUCUUCACCACCAUUCUUGUCUUGUGGGAGUAGUGGUGCCUCUGAAGGGGACCAAGGUGGAUGGUCCUUGGGUCUGAGUGCCGAUGAGGCUUAGUAUAACUUGCAGCAGCAAAUUCUGGGGUCUGUGUCAGCAAAUUUAGUUAAUUUCAGAGCUCAUUUAUGCUUUGUUUAUGGCAUUCGUGGUGUAAAACCUAAGGUUCAUGUGCUGUUGCUUGAGUGCAAGUCA
This is a long non-coding RNA of Panicum hallii, 543 nucleotides long. RefSeq lists it as uncharacterized. NCBI's taxonomy places the organism in Eukaryota, Viridiplantae, Streptophyta, Magnoliopsida, Poales, Poaceae. The record is from RefSeq and is a predicted model, not a curated record. The transcript has 3 exons.